RNAcentral lists this small nuclear RNA (141 nucleotides) under Saimiri boliviensis boliviensis (Bolivian squirrel monkey). RNAcentral describes it as "U4 spliceosomal RNA (ENSSBOG00000002158.1)". It matches the Rfam family "U4 spliceosomal RNA". Rfam says of the family: U4 small nuclear RNA (U4 snRNA) is a component of the major U2-dependent spliceosome. Lineage: Eukaryota; Metazoa; Chordata; Mammalia; Primates; Cebidae. The record is from Rfam by way of RNAcentral.
AGCUUUUCGCAGUGGCAGUAUCGUAGCCGAUGAGGUUUAUCCGAAGCGCGAUUAUUGCUAAUUGAAAACUUUUCCCAAUACCCCACUAUGACGUCUUGAAAUAUAGUCGGCAUUUGCAGUUUUUGGCAGUCUCUACGGAGA